Molecule: ribosomal RNA, 508 nt
Filed under: uncultured bacterium
Lineage: Bacteria
Description: partial 16S ribosomal RNA
Rfam family: Bacterial small subunit ribosomal RNA
Source: RNAcentral
GAUGAACGCUAGCUACAGGCUUAACACAUGCAAGUCGAGGGGAAACGACAUCGAAAGCUUGCUUUUGAUGGGCGUCGACCGGCGCACGGGUGAGUAACGUGUAUCCAACCUGCGCAUCACUUGGGGAUAACCUUGCGAAAGUAAGACUAAUACCCAAUGAUAACUCUAGAAGACAUCUGAAAGAGAUUAAAGAUUUAUCGGUGAUGGACGGGGAUGGGUCUGAUUAGCUUGUUGGCGGGGUAACGGCGAACCAAGGCGACGAUCAGUAGGGGUUCUGAGAGGAAGGUCCCCCACAUUGGAACUGAGACACGGUCCAAACUCCUACGGGAGGCAGCAGUGAGGAAUAUUGGUCAAGGGACGAGAGUCUGAACCAGCCAAGUAGCGUGCAGGAUGACGGCCCUAUGGGUUGUAAACUGCUUUUAUAAGGGAAUAAAGUGAGUCUCGUGAGACUUUUUGCAUGUACCUUAUGAAUAAGGACCGGCUAAUUCCGUGCCAGCCGCCGCCGUAA